RNAcentral lists this ribosomal RNA (1532 nucleotides) under Escherichia coli. Its description in RNAcentral is "partial 23S ribosomal RNA". It matches the Rfam family "Bacterial large subunit ribosomal RNA", at positions 1 to 1569 of the family's 2925-position model. The record is from RNAcentral. Lineage: Bacteria; Pseudomonadati; Pseudomonadota; Gammaproteobacteria; Enterobacterales; Enterobacteriaceae.
GGGUUGUGAGGUUAAGCGACUAAGCGUACACGGUGGAUGCCCUGGCAGUCAGAGGCGAUGAAGGACGUGCUAAUCUGCGAUAAGCGUCGGUGAGGUGAUAUGAACCGUUAUAACCGGCGAUUUCCGAAUGGGGAAACCCAGUGUGUUUCGACACACUAUCAUUAACUGAAUCCAUAGGUUAAUGAGGCGAACCGGGGGAACUGAAACAUCUAAGUACCCCGAGGAAAAGAAAUCAACCGAGAUUCCCCCAGUAGCGGCGAGCGAACGGGGAGGAGCCCAGAGCCUGAAUCAGUGUGUGUGUUAGUGGAAGCGUCUGGAAAGGCGUGCGAUACAGGGUGACAGCCCCGUACACAAAAAUGCACAUAUUGUGAGCUCGAUGAGUAGGGCGGGACACGUGGUAUCCUGUCUGAAUAUGGGGGGACCAUCCUCCAAGGCUAAAUACUCCUGACUGACCGAUAGUGAACCAGUACCGUGAGGGAAAGGCGAAAAGAACCCCGGCGAGGGGAGUGAAAAAGAACCUGAAACCGUGUACGUACAAGCAGUGGGAGCCUCUUAAUGGGGUGACUGCGUACCUUUUGUAUAAUGGGUCAGCGACUUAUAUUCUGUAGCAAGGUUAACCGAAUAGGGGAGCCGAAGGGAAACCGAGUCUUAACUGGGCGUUAAGUUGCAGGGUAUAGACCCGAAACCCGGUGAUCUAGCCAUGGGCAGGUUGAAGGUUGGGUAACACUAACUGGAGGACCGAACCGACUAAUGUUGAAAAAUUAGCGGAUGACUUGUGGCUGGGGGUGAAAGGCCAAUCAAACCGGGAGAUAGCUGGUUCUCCCCGAAAGCUAUUUAGGUAGCGCCUCGUGAAUUCAUCUCCGGGGGUAGAGCACUGUUUCGGCAAGGGGGUCAUCCCGACUUACCAACCCGAUGCAAACUGCGAAUACCGGAGAAUGUUAUCACGGGAGACACACGGCGGGUGCUAACGUCCGUCGUGAAGAGGGAAACAACCCAGACCGCCAGCUAAGGUCCCAAAGUCAUGGUUAAGUGGGAAACGAUGUGGGAAGGCCCAGACAGCCAGGAUGUUGGCUUAGAAGCAGCCAUCAUUUAAAGAAAGCGUAAUAGCUCACUGGUCGAGUCGGCCUGCGCGGAAGAUGUAACGGGGCUAAACCAUGCACCGAAGCUGCGGCAGCGACACUAUGUGUUGUUGGGUAGGGGAGCGUUCUGUAAGCCUGUGAAGGUGGCCUGUGAGGGGUGCUGGAGGUAUCAGAAGUGCGAAUGCUGACAUAAGUAACGAUAAAGCGGGUGAAAAGCCCGCUCGCCGGAAGACCAAGGGUUCCUGUCCAACGUUAAUCGGGGCAGGGUGAGUCGACUCCUAAGGCGAGGCCGAAAGGCGUAGUCGAUGGGAAACAGGUUAAUAUUCCUGUACUUGGUGUUACUGCGAAGGGGGGACGGAGAAGGCUAUGUUGGCCGGGCGACGGUUGUCCCGGUUUAAGCGUGUAGGCUGGUUUUCCAGGCAAAUCCGGAAAACCAAGGCUGAGGCGUGAUGA